GUAUAGUACAACAGUUUCACUGGAGGUAUAGAUCUGGUGCUCAAACAAGGUGCAACAGCAGUGUUCAACCAUAGGGAAGAGGGAUACGCAGAUAAAAUAGUGGAAGCAACUGGUGGUGUCGGUCCAGACCUUAUAAUAGAGAUGCUAGCAAAUGUAAACCUAGAAACUGAUAUGAAAAUAAUAAACCGGAAAGGAAUUAUUGUGGUUGUUGGUAACAGAGGGUCUAUUAAAA
Ruditapes philippinarum (Manila clam) is the source of this 232-nucleotide long non-coding RNA. RefSeq lists it as uncharacterized. The record is from RefSeq and is a predicted model, not a curated record. NCBI's taxonomy places the organism in Eukaryota, Metazoa, Mollusca, Bivalvia, Venerida, Veneridae. The transcript is spliced from 3 exons.